Molecule: ribosomal RNA, 220 nt
Filed under: uncultured bacterium
Lineage: Bacteria
Description: partial 16S ribosomal RNA
Rfam family: Bacterial small subunit ribosomal RNA
Source: RNAcentral
UACAGAGGGGGCGAGCGUUAGGCGGAAUCACUGGGCUUAAAGGGCGCGUAGGCGGCCUUCUAAGUCGAACGUGAAAUCCCCGGGCUCAACCCGGGAACUGCGUCCGAUACUGGGAGGCUUGAAUCCGGGAGAGGGAUGUGGAAUUCCAGGUGUAGCGGUGAAAUGCGUAGGAUAUCUGGAGGAACACCGGUGGCGAAGGCGGCAUCCUGGACCGGUAUUG